Molecule: ribosomal RNA, 253 nt
Filed under: uncultured bacterium
Lineage: Bacteria
Description: partial 16S ribosomal RNA
Rfam family: Bacterial small subunit ribosomal RNA
Source: RNAcentral
UACGGAGGGUGCGAGCGUUAUCCGGAAUUACUGGGUUUAAAGGGUGCGUAGGCGGCCAUGUAAGUCAGGAGUGAAAGUUUGCGGCUCAACCGUAAAAUUGCUUUUGAUACUGCAUGGCUGGAAUCAGGAUGAGGUCAGCGGAAUGUGGCAUGUAGCGGUGAAAUGCAUUGAUAUGCCAUAGAACACCAAUUGCGAAGGCAGCUGGCUAGACCUGUAUUGACGCUGAGGCACGAAAGCGUGGGGAGCGAACCGG